This 29-nucleotide non-coding RNA is filed under the name Mus musculus (house mouse). The record is from RNAcentral. Lineage: Eukaryota; Metazoa; Chordata; Mammalia; Rodentia; Muridae.
UGCAUGUAGCUCAGUAAUUUUUCCAUCGA